AGGGGGAGGAAGGGAGGGAAGGAGGGAGAGAGAGAGAGAGACAAAGAGAACCAUCAGUCCUUGAAAAUUACAAUUUGCUUCAGAUAGUGAAGAGGAAGGAACUCAGGAUACCCUGCUGGUCUCUUACAGAGACCGAUGAAAGUGCUCUUAAGUUCAUU
This 158-nucleotide long non-coding RNA is filed under the name Fukomys damarensis (Damara mole-rat). RNAcentral's name for it is "lncRNA (ENSFDAG00000029599.1)". The record is from RNAcentral. Lineage: Eukaryota; Metazoa; Chordata; Mammalia; Rodentia; Bathyergidae.